This 790-nucleotide long non-coding RNA is filed under the name Homo sapiens (human). Its description in RNAcentral is "non-protein coding lnc-CELF4-11:1". Lineage: Eukaryota; Metazoa; Chordata; Mammalia; Primates; Hominidae. The record is from RNAcentral.
AGGGUGGGGGCGAAGGGGAAGCUACGUCCCGGAGGUGCGGUGUGGGGCACCGGGCGGGGCCGCGGGAACCGGCGCCCCACGGAGCUGCUGCUGUCAGACCAACCCCGGGCCCCCAUCAUCACUGCGCCGCGCUUUCAGGCGCCGAGAACUACCGUUCCCGGCAUGCCAUGAAAUUGGCCUCGGCGCUGAGGCGGGGUCCGGCCCUCCACCCGCUCCCGCCGCGCGCGAAUCGCGGUCGCGAGCCAUGGAGGAGGAGGCAUCGUCCCCGGGGCUGGGCUGCAGCAAGCCGCACCUGGAGAAGCUGACCCUGGGCAUCACGCGCAUCCUAGAAUCUUCCCCAGGUGUGACUGAGGUGACCAUCAUAGAAAAGCCUCCUGCUGAACGUCAUAUGAUUUCUUCCUGGGAACAAGUAAGUGUUGCCACAUGAACUCUACCUCCCAUCAAAGAGAGGUCAGUGUAAAUGUCCCUGAGAAGGAAAGAUUAGGGGAGGAAGAAUAUUUACUCAGACCACAGCUGCUUUCAAGGUAGAGUUUACCUUUUCUAUGUUCCUGUUCAGCCCACUUAACAGUUCCUUUCAUUCUAUGCCACUUACCCAGCAUGGAGUGUUUCCCCUGAGCCCCACUCUCCUACAGAAGCAGUGGACAUUCAAAGUUGUGUACAACAAAGCUAAAAAUCAAUUAAGGAAAAGAAAGGAUAUGUGUUAAUAAGUGUCAUGCUGUCCAGAACAUGAUUAAGUGUUGCACAUAACUACUAAGCAGAUUAAAAGCUAAUGCUUUCCAACUUUCCUCUG